UUUUUUUUUUUUUUUUUUUUUUUUGGCUUUUUAGGGCUGCACUUGCAGCGUAUGGAAGUUCCCAGGCUAGGGGUCAAAUUGGAGCUAGAGCUGCCAGCCACAGCCACAGCAACACAGGAUCUGAGCUGCGUUUGUGACCUACACCACAGCUCAUGGCAACGCUGGAUCCCCGACCCACUGAGCAGAGCCAGGAUUCAAACCUGCAUCCUCAUAGAUACUAGUUGGAUUCGUUUCCACUGUGCCACAAUGGGAACUCCCAAUAAUGGUUGAAAUUCUGUUUAAAGAAUCUAAUAACUCAUCCUUUGCUCUUAUUGAUAAGUGAUGUUGGAAAUUCUUGGGAUAAUAGGAAUGGAUUUCAAGUCCAAUAGAAGUUUAUCAAAGCAAGUGUUUCAGGAUAAAGAUGAAGCUCUGUGAGUGCUGGGACACAACUUGGACAUGGGAGCCACAAAUGGGAAGAAGCACAGGAUAGAUGUGAAGACAAAGAUUGGGGCCCCAUCUGAAACUGGUGUGCUGGUAGCCUCAGCUCAGCCUUCCUUGACCUACUGGAUGUUUGCCCUGCUCCUUCUUUAGCAGCUGCAGCAGCCUGUGAUUAUGGCAAAGUGUGCCACAGAGGUCCGCUGAGCAGUCAGCCAGGUGGUAGGGCAUCUUCUCAGUCCCUCUCAUCCUAUCACAGUGGAACAAGGAUGCUGGGUGUCUCUCAUGUCCCUCAAUGUUCCCACCCCAUCAGACCCCACCCCCUGGGGCUGUCCUUUGAGGAACCUUCUGCUCCUUUGAGGACCACACUGCUGCAAGUCAGAGAGGUCCAGCAGCUCCCUGCCUUCCAUUCAUGGUUCACCCUUGGCACACCAUUAUAAAGCUCUGCUCUGGGUUGGCCAUGAACGUGUACAGCCAGGAUGUGAUGGGAAAUGGCAAGAGGACAUAGAGUCGCCCCUGGUUUUGUAGUCUUGUCAAAUUUCUAUGAACCAGUGCCUGUGCUAUGGGCCUCUCGUCUCUCUUGCUGAACAUUAGUGUCUAUGGUGCUUAUCUUAUCCUUUCAAUGACAUUGUAUAUUGGGAGGUUAAGAAGCAGAUAACCCCGCCUCCAAAAAAAAAAAAGAAACAUUCUUUUGUAAUUGUUUUGUAAGACUUAUUGGAUGGCUAUGCAAUCUGUGUUUGUACAAGAAUUUUGGGCAACUGAUUUCAAAGAUUACUCAUUCAUUGAUUAAUUGCUUUCAAAAGAAUCUAUUGAGUAGAACUUCAUCUGGAAAAUGCUUUCUUUAGCCCUCACAGUCACCCUCUCCCAGAAACCAGAGCUCAUCACAAUCACAGUCACUAGCCCUCUCCCCAAGCAUUCCCUGAUCAAUGAGAGUUUACACGUUUCCUUUACAGUGGACCUUUGGGACAGAAAUAGACACUAGCCAGCUUGGGAGGUAUUAUGAGCAACCUCUUCAGGAAGUAAGAAAACAGCUGGUCCCUGAGUCCAUGAAAGAAGAGUAAGAGAGAGCAGAUUUAAGUUUCAACAGGAGCAACAAAAGCUGGAUGUAAAUGACAGCUGUCUAAUUCUAGAAGAUUUCCUUACUUGGGCCUAAAAGGAGCAGUGGACUAGGCAGCCAUGUGUGGAAUGAUUUGGGUGUGUCAAUGUCUAGAAGCAAAGAAGAGAUGUAUGAUUUCUUUAUUUUUUUGAGUUUGUUUUUUAAAAUGAUUUUUAUUUUUUCCGUUAUAGCUGGUUUACAGUGUUCUGUCAAUUAAGUUUAUUUCUUUUUGGAUUAUGAAAAGCAACCUGUAGAAGAUAAAUAUUUCUCAUAAUCCUACUACCUAGUCAUAGCCACUGUUAACAGUUUGAUGUAUUUCCUUGUACUUGUUUUUAUAUAUACAUAUUUUUUUAUGUAUGGUAUGCAUAAUUUUUCAUUUUUAUCCCUCAUUUAUUUAGCAUCUUCCCACAUUAUGAAAUAUCUUCCAAGCCCAUUUUUAAUAACUAUAAUCUCUUGUAAGAAUAUAUCAUAGUUACUAUUGCCAUUUCCUUAUUUGUCUCAAUUUAGGUUAUGUACAAUGUCUCAGCAUCAUAAAUGAGCUGAGAUCAAAAGGUUUACAUCCAAAGCUUUCUCUCUUUUGCAAAGUAAAGUAAGUCUGAUGACCAACAUUGCCUUCACUUAUCUCAUCUGCUACAGAGGACCCCUUUCUGAGGGGCCCUGGACCAAGUUCCACCCUGAGAAUAAACACGUGUGUGAAUUUCAUUCUUACUGCAUUGAUUUUGGGCAAUCUGAUUUCAGUUUAUGAGGCAUCUUUUUUGGCCAAGCCUUUCUGUGAGAACUGUGAUAGGAUUGCAAGCCAAACAAAGUCAAACCAAAGCAGCCAUAGUGAUAUUGACAAAGUAGUCAUUCUAUUGGAGUGUAUUUGAAAAUGGCACGUUAUCAUUUGCCGGAGCAAAAUGGAGCCAUUUUACCUUAGGAAGGUUACAUUCUUCUUGACUCAUAUUUCCAUGCUUCUCAGGGGUCCUUUUCUGAUGGUGGGACAAACAAUUAAUGUUGAGGAGGGCUUGGUUCCAUGAUGUCAGCAUGAUCUGACCCUUGGAGGUACGCCCGGAACAUGGCCAUUAUGUGCUUCCUCUUAGCUUUUAGGACUGCUGAAAAAUAAUAACAGGACCACGGCUUAAUGGCAUGGAAUUUAAAGCCAUUGACCUUGCCUGACCAAGUCACUCACAUUUGUAUAAACCUGAGGAAAUGCCCAAGUGACAACUUUAGCUUUGGUAAAAAUGUCUUUUUUUAUCCUUGUAAUUAUAAAAUGGAAGUACUUGGCCACUGCCUAGAAAAUAAACUAUCUGUUUUUAUUUUUGCUUGCUGGAGGGGGAGCUGUAUAUGGCUGUGCUGUCAUUUUCAAACCAGCCACUGAGUACAGAGGCUUGUACCAUUGCCUUUAAGCCUGUGGGCGUGUUUUUAGUUGAAAACUUAUGAACCCAAUAUAUCAUCUUUGGGUGCUAAUCUAAAUUGAUCUCACUUUGUUCUUUGGUGAGUUUGGGUGGCACAAGCCAGUGCUUUUCAGAGACUGCUGAGAUCCCCAGUUUAAGCUGAAUUUAGAAGCUUCACGUUGGCAAACUGUACAUUAAGUCUCUGAGGCCACACACCUCACUACCCUUCUCUCAUUGUCCCAGCUUAUUCCCAAUCUCUGAAGUGCUGGGAUUGUUGGGAUAUAAAAACUAUAUCUAGUGCUGUCCAUAAAACAGAUAUUCUCUGUCCCAUAGACCCAAAACUUGCCUUUUUUUUUUUUUUUUUUUUUUUUUUUUUUUUUUUUUUUAGUCUUUUUAGGACCACACCUGCGGCAUAUGGAAGUUCCCAGGCUAGCAGUCGAAUUGGAGCUGCAGCUGCCAGCCUACACCACAGCCACAGCAACGUCAGAUCCAAGCCGUGUCUGUGACCCACACCAAGCUCACGGCAACACUGGAUCUUAACCCACAGAACGAGGCCAGGGAUGGAACCCGAGUCCUCAUGGAUUCUAGUCGGGUUUAUUAACCACUGAGCCAAGAAGGGAACUCCCCAAAACUUGCCUAUUAACUGUUGCUGAAAAAAGUCUUGGAGUUUCCUUGUGGUGCAAUGGGUUAAGGAUCUGGCAUUAUCACUGCAGCAGCUUGGAUUGCUCCUGUGGUGCAGGUUUAAUCCCUGGCCCAGGAACUUCCACAUAGUGCAGGUGUGGCCACAAAAAAAUCUUUACUAGAGCUUUUUCAUACAGUAGGGUGAUCAUAAAUGAACUAUGAUCAUGCAAGGAUAUAAGAAAUGUGAAAUAUACUGCCACCAAAACCAGGCAGCCCUCUUCCUUAAAGUGAAUUGAAGGCUGGAAAUAAAGAUUUAUAAACUCAGAGGAGAACCAGAUUAACUGAAAGUCCAUAAGUAGCCAGGAUUAAGCAAAGUGUAAUGGAUUUUCCUCUCCUAUAAGUUCAAGGAUGGUAAGGCUGCAUUUCUUUGUUCCUUGAAUUCUUCAUCGUCUUGUUAAUCUGGAAGCAUGCCAGGCUUCAGGAGCGGGUGAAGAGCUCCUUGGUCUUUAAGUCCUUCUUAACAUUAAAGGACAGUAUUUAAAACCUCUCUUGAAGCCACCUCUAACAUUUGUAGGAUUGCUGCCAAUCUCUGUUCCUUGCAAAGAGCAAGGAGAUGUAAAAACAGCAACAGCACCUCUCUCAGGGUCCCCCAGCCCUUUCUUUAUAACUUCUUCCCUUUGAUAAAGUGAAAUUGGCAUGCUGUAUUGUGUCAGAGUUUGGGGCCCACAUAGAUACGGAUGGGAGGUAAAGAGUGACUGGCUACCGCUGUGCCAGGUGUUCACCGAUUGUAAAACUGAAUAAUGGAUAAUAACCAUCUCAGUGUGUUUAUCAGUGCAGUUUUCUCUCUCUGAUGUAGAAGAGGUCACUGGAGACAAUGUGCAGGCCUCUCGUCGGUCCUAUUAACACGGCACUGCUGGCUGGAAUUCAGGCUCCAUUACUUACGUACAACAAUGGCAGGGACCCUGCCUCGAGUUGUAAUUAGGCUUGAUCAGGGCUAGGGUACAGUUGGUCUAAUCAGAAUCACUCAGAAUUAAUUUUAGUCUUGUGAAAGGAUAUGAGGUGAGAUUGAUUUCAUGGUAACCAAAGCAACCCUGUCUUCUAUAACUCUCCAAGCUAGAGAGACAGAGAGAGAAAAUGAAUGGUAAAAAAUGAGGGCAAAUGAAAACAGAAAGAUGACCGUUUUAGUUCUGUUAAUUUUAUUGCAACUGGUUAGAAGAAAAUGUGUUUCGAUGAGAGCAAAUAUAUUCUACAGGGUGAUCACUGGGUACUAGAAACUUUUAUAGGUCUCAUUUGAGCCUAAAGCAAAUCCUGUGAUGCUUAAUUCCUCUUUGUGUGGUCCAUUUCAUAUGUGUUUGGAAAUAGCCCUUUAGAGCAAGAAUUUCAUUCUGCAGGAGGAGGAAAUUCAAGCUGGGCAGUAUUUCCUUUCUCUGGUAAGAAUCAGUUCUUUAGCUUUUUACCUCUGGACUUAUGUCUGUCUCAGACCCAGUGACCACUGGCUUACACGAGAGCAAAGAGAAGAUUUUGGAGACCUGUUUGCGAGAUAGUUUAAGAAGUUACAUCCUAGACCUCGGACUCAGGACCGCCCCUCACUGGUGCUCCUGGAGUCCUGGGCACAAGAUGGCAGAGCAGCGUUGGCCACCUGGGGUGCCCUGAUCAGGCUCUCCCCAGUGCUCUGUGCACCCAAUCUCACCUGGCUGUGCGGCCACCCCAGUACCACCCCAGUUCAUGGAGGCCACGGAGGUGCCCGGGCCACAUACCCAUAUUCCCCCCAACACACACCCCCGUUUCCAGGCCCAAGCCUUCCUAAGUGCAUGUUCACGAGGACGCUGGCCCUCCGAGGGUUCUGACCAGCCAGGGGUGGGGUCUGCCCUAUAGCCUGACUCCUGGCGUAGAGCCUCCAGAUAACCUGGUCUCCCUCCCAGAAAAACAGGGCUGCUUUUUCUUUUUUUCUUUUUAAAUGAUUUUUAUUUUUUUCCAUCAUAGCUGGUUUAUAGUGUUCUGUCAAUUUUCUGCUGUAGAGCAAGGUGACUAAUCACACAUACAUGUAUAGAUUCUUUUUCUCACAGUAUCAUGCUCCAUCAUAAGUGACUAGAUAGAGUUCCCAGUGCUAUACAGCAGGAUCUCAUUGCUUACCCAUUCCAAAGGCAAUAGUUUGCAUCUAUUAACCCCAUAUUUUUUCUGAUUAAAGAAAAUUAAGUGUGCUGUGCCAUUAUUUAAAAAAAAAAGUUACAGAGAUGUGGGAGGUGUGAUAAGGGACCAUGUCUAAAUCCUCAUUUAGUGAAUGGUCAUUCAGUUUUUUUCAGGUUAACAAGAUGCUGCUUUGGGAACAGAAUCUUAUCUUUAAGGUUUGAGAUAAUUGGUGAAGCGAGUGUGAAUAUGCACACGCUUUUGUUUGUGUACACACAUGCAGAUAUAGAUUCACAGGAUUUUUCCAUUUACACGUGUUUGAUCUGUGAUAUUUAGAUGUUGUAAGUGAAAUACUUACUCUAGCUCCUUUAUCCCUGUUGGCACAUUUAUGAAUCUCUUCCCAUGCCACAUCAGCUCCAAGAGUAGAAAUAUCACAGUCAUUUUGAGGACAGGAUACUGUUAAGUUUGUUUCUUAAAUACAUCUCUGGUGAUUAUGUGGAUGAGAAAAUGACAUGUAAAUAUUUUGAGUCAUUUAUGUGAGUAGGAAGUGUUUAAGCCAAGUAUGUCUCUUCCAGAUUAAAAAAGAAGAGAAGGGAGUUCCCGUUGUGGCACAGCAGAAAUAAAUCCGACUAGUAACCUUGAGGUUGCAGGUUCGAUCCCUGGCCUCACUCAGUGGGUUAAGGGUUAAGGAUCCAGCGUUGCCAUGAGUUGUGGUGUAGGUCACAGACGAAGCUCCAAUCCUGCGUUGCCGUGGCUGUGGCGUAGGUUGGCAACUGUAGCUCCGAUUUGAUCCCUAGCCUGGGAACCUCCAUGUGCCACAGGUGCGGCU
Molecule: long non-coding RNA, 6460 nt
Filed under: Sus scrofa (pig)
Lineage: Eukaryota; Metazoa; Chordata; Mammalia; Artiodactyla; Suidae
Description: lncRNA (ENSSSCG00000059762.1)
Source: RNAcentral